UACAGAGGGUGCGAGCGUUGUCCGGAAUCACUGGGCGUAAAGGGCGCGUAGGUGGCGCGGCAAGUCAACGGUGAAAGCUCGACGCUCAACGUCGAGUCGGCCGUCGAUACUGCUGGGCUUGAGCACUGUAGAGGCAGAUGGAAUUCCGGGUGUAGCGGUGGAAUGCGUAGAGAUCCGGAAGAACACCGGUGGCGAAGGCGGUCUGCUGGGCAGUAGCUGACACUGAGGCGCGACAGCGUGGGGAGCAAACAGG
This 253-nucleotide ribosomal RNA is filed under the name uncultured bacterium. RNAcentral describes it as "partial 16S ribosomal RNA". It matches the Rfam family "Bacterial small subunit ribosomal RNA", at positions 524 to 776 of the family's 1533-position model. The record is from RNAcentral.